Molecule: ribosomal RNA, 259 nt
Filed under: uncultured soil bacterium
Lineage: Bacteria
Description: partial 16S ribosomal RNA
Rfam family: Bacterial small subunit ribosomal RNA
Source: RNAcentral
AGAUUGAACGCUGGCGGCAGGCCUAACACAUGCAAGUCGAGCGGUAGAGAGGUGCUUGCAUCUCUUGAGAGCGGCGGACGGGUGAGUAAUGCCUAGGAAUCUGCCUAGUGGUGGGGGAUAACGUUCGGAAACGGACGCUAAUACCGCAUACGUCCUACGGGAGAAAGCGGGGGACCUUCGGGCCUCGCGCCAUUAGAUGAGCCUAGGUCGGAUUAGCUAGUUGGUGAGGUAUGGCUCACCAAGGCGACGAUCCGUAACU